RNAcentral lists this transfer RNA (69 nucleotides) under Ophiura albida. RNAcentral describes it as "transfer RNA-Gln". The record is from RNAcentral. Lineage: Eukaryota; Metazoa; Echinodermata; Ophiuroidea; Amphilepidida; Ophiuridae.
UAGGAAAUAGGUAAAAGAAUACCGUGAAAGUUUGGAUUUCAAGUUGAGAGCUCAAUACUCUUUUUCCUA